GUGAGGAAUAUUGGUCAAUGGACGGAAGUCUGAACCAGCCAUGCCGCGUGCAGGAAUAAGGUCCUAUGGAUUGUAAACUGCUUUUAUUCGGGAAUAAACCUCUUUACGUGUAGGGAGCUGAAGGUACCGAAGGAAUAAGCACCGGCUAACUCCGUGCCAGCAGCCGCGGUAAUACGGAGGGUGCAAGCGUUAUCCGGAAUCAUUGGGUUUAAAGGGUCCGCAGGCGGGCUAUCAAGUCAGAGGUGAAAUCCCACAGCUUAACUGUGGAACUGCCUUUGAAACUGAUGGUCUUGAAUUAAGUGGGCGUUGGCGGAAUAUGACAUGUAGCAGUGAAAUGCAUAGAUAUGUCAUGGAACACCGAAAGCGAAGGCAGCUAACGAUACUUAUAUUGACGCUCAUGGACGAAAGCGUGGGUAGCGAACAGGAUUAGAAACCCCGGUAGUCC
Molecule: ribosomal RNA, 445 nt
Filed under: uncultured bacterium
Lineage: Bacteria
Description: partial 16S ribosomal RNA
Rfam family: Bacterial small subunit ribosomal RNA
Source: RNAcentral